Molecule: ribosomal RNA, 448 nt
Filed under: uncultured bacterium
Lineage: Bacteria
Description: bacterial SSU rRNA
Rfam family: Bacterial small subunit ribosomal RNA
Source: RNAcentral
UGGGGAAUAUUGGACAAUGGGCGCAAGCCUGAUCCAGCCAUGCCGCGUGAGUGAUGAAGGCCUUAGGGUUGUAAAGCUCUUUUUGCCGGGGACGAUAAUGACGGUACCCGGAGAAUAAGUCCCGGCUAACUUCGUGCCAGCAGCCGCGGUAAUACGAAGGGGACUAGCGUUGUUCGGAAUCACUGGGCGUAAAGCGCACGUAGGCGGAUUUGUAAGUCAGGGGUGAAAUCCCGGGGCUCAACCUCGGAACUGCCUUUGAUACUGCGGAUCUCGAGUCCGAUAGAGGUGAGUGGAAUUCCUAGUGUAGAGGUGAAAUUCGUAGAUAUUAGGAAGAACACCGGUGGCGAAGGCGGCUCACUGGAUCGGUACUGACGCUGAGGUGCGAAAGCGUGGGGAGCAAACAGGAUUAGAUACCCCUGUAGUCCCUGAGCGGGCUGGCAAGGCGCAU